This is a long non-coding RNA of Branchiostoma floridae (Florida lancelet), 1077 nucleotides long. RefSeq lists it as uncharacterized. The record is from RefSeq and is a predicted model, not a curated record. Lineage: Eukaryota; Metazoa; Chordata; Leptocardii; Amphioxiformes; Branchiostomatidae. The transcript has 2 exons.
GUCAGCGGGUCGAGUCGGUGACACCGGAGCGGGCUGGCAGAGCGCUUCUGGAGCAGCCCAGGCCAAGGCGCACAGAGGCGCGGCAAGAUGAACUCACUGCCCUGGGAACCGGCUAGCUCGUUGGCAAGAAAUUUUUUUCGGGGUAUCAGACAGUUAUUCCCGCCUACAUAGAUGACCACUCGGGGGGCAUGGUGAUUUAGCGGGGAGUUCUUGUCUUGUUGGUCUCGACAACUUCCCGGAGUGCUAUUUCUCGGUCGACGGGUUACGGGAAUGACUGCCCGGCACCCCAAGAUAAUUGCUGGUCCACCGUCCGACCAACCGACGAGCUGACAUGUCUCAAGGUAGCCCGCAGGUCUACAGAAGGAUUCACUGGCCAGCAAGAAUCCCAGUUGCGGAUGAAUUGGAGUACCGAUAUAUCCCAACAAAUAUCAAAUGUGACAUCAUCAUGAAAGCAAAAAAAGAAAGAGAAAUCAAUGAAAUAGCAAUAUUCAGGUAACGGAUAUGAUACAAAACACACCAAAUAAAUGAAAACACCCAUACAAAACAUCACUUCCAUCACACAGUAAGGCUAAGUAAAAGUAAGGCCAGCAUCAUGUAGUCACGGUCAGUCUGAGUUAAAUGUCCACCGUACCGUGCCCAAUGUAAGGAAAAUCUCAUCUCUGCAUCUUUUAUACUUGACAUAUCAAAAACAGUUUUCAAAACGGCAUCUAUAUGAACCAGUGUCAAUUACAGGGCCAGGCGUAACAUUACUCAUUAUACGAAAGCCUAUCUAAAACAACAACAAGCAGCUGUGACAUUUUGGUCUAAAUUAACAUGCAGAAAGUUAAUAUGAAAUAUCUUUAAAAAGCUGUAAUAUAGAGUUUAAUAGUGUGCACAAACAAACUCUAACCUUGUGGCUAUUCCAUGCCCCAAGAUUAGAGUUCCUCUCUUCUUUAUGUAAAGACCGGUCCCGCAAAAUGUAGGCAAAAAAGAAUUCCCUAGGGAAUGCAUGCGUGGAAUUUUUAGAAUUCCUGGCAACUCAAUCGCAGUACUAUAAGAACGGCUCCGCCCCUGAGGCGUCGCCAAAAAAAAGUACAA